This 465-nucleotide ribosomal RNA is filed under the name uncultured bacterium. Its description in RNAcentral is "partial 16S ribosomal RNA". It matches the Rfam family "Bacterial small subunit ribosomal RNA", at positions 28 to 507 of the family's 1533-position model. The record is from RNAcentral.
GACGAACGCUGGCGGCGUGCUUAACACAUGCAAGUCGAACGGAAAGGCCCUGCUUGCCGGGUACUCGAGUGGCGAACGGGUGAGUAACACGUGGGUGAUCUGCCCUGCACUUCGGGAUAAGCCUGGGCAACUGGGUCUAAUACCGGAUAGGAGCCAUUUUUAGUGUGAUGGUUGGAAAGUUUUUUCGGUGUAGGAUGAGCUCGCGGCCUAUCAGCUUGUUGGUGGGGUAAUGGCCUACCAAGGCGGCGACGGGUAGCCGGCCUGAGAGGGUGGACGGCCACAUUGGGACUGAGAUACGGCCCAGACUCCUACGGGAGGCAGCAGUGGGGAAUAUUGCACAAUGGGCGCAAGCCUGAUGCAGCGACGCCGCGUGGGGGAUGACGGCCUUCGGGUUGGAAACUCCUUUCGCUAGGGACGAAGCUUUUUGUGACGGUACCUAGAUAAGAAGCACCGGCUAACUACGUG